GAAGACGUUUCUGACACAAAACCCCAGGGGAAUCCACGGAGGAGCUGGGCUGUCAUUACUUAUUAACGGUGGGCCUGAUCCCCAGCCAGGCUGGCCCAGGGAAAUAGCCUGUAGGGAGGCCGGCCUCGCUGCUACCAGGUGGAUUAACACUUUCAGGGCGGGAGGGAGCUGUUUGGGGGGGGGUCAAUUGUCACAUUGUUGCAUGUAAGAGGGGCCAUUCUUUACACAUUAGACACAGGCGCCUUCUUCCUCGGCGUUCCCUCCCCCUCGGCGUCUGCAUUCUUCUCUUCCCUUCUCCUCCUGCCCGCUCUGGUUUUAAGCCAGCAAACCCACAGGAUGUGGGAGACUGCGCUCGCUCACGGGGAAGAGGAAGAUCUGAGAAAGCACACGGCCCGGAACCUGGGGAUGAUGUCUUCGGAGAGGGCCCGAGGAGGCGGGGAGAGGGAGAGGCAGCGGAGCCGCAGCGGGAGCCGGUACAUCCCGGUUGCAGACCGGGAAAGCCUGGCCCUGAGGGUGAAGUCACCGGGAAACGGAGGGUUCUCGGCCAGCAAUAAGGUGCCCACGGGUAUCAGGACGCUGGAGAAGGUCCCUCGCUGCUCCUCGCCACCGCGCUGUUGAAAUGACAUGGCUAUGGAGGAAUCCUUUCGUUCUGCAAGCGUAACCACAGGAAUCAGGAUGAGCGAAUUCCGCUCCCUGGAAACCCGGGGUGGCAUCUGCUUUGUCCGUAGAGCUCCUAAGCCAGAGUUCCAUAGCCUUUCAUGGCCUUCGUGUUGGGGAUCGAAAUAAAGCCCACGGAAUUCUCUGCUGGGAAAGGUGA
This 817-nucleotide long non-coding RNA is filed under the name Sus scrofa (pig). RNAcentral's name for it is "lncRNA (ENSSSCG00025071380.1, ENSSSCG00065028023.1)". Lineage: Eukaryota; Metazoa; Chordata; Mammalia; Artiodactyla; Suidae. The record is from RNAcentral.